CAGCCGCCGCGGGAAUACGAAGGGUGCAAGCGUUAAUCGGAAUUACUGGGCGUAAAGCGUGCGUAGGCGGUUUGUUAAGUCUGUUGUGAAAUCCCCGGGCUCAACCUGGGAAUGGCAAUGGAUACUGGCAAGCUAGAGUGUGUCAGAGGAUGGUGGAAUUCCCGGUGUAGCGGUGAAAUGCGUAGAGAUCGGGAGGGACAUCAGUGGCGAAGGCGGCCAUCUGGGACAACACUGACGCUGAGGCACGAAAGCGUGGGGAGCAAACAGGAUUAGAUACCCCGGUAGUCCCUGUCUCUUAUAC
This 301-nucleotide ribosomal RNA is filed under the name uncultured bacterium. Its description in RNAcentral is "partial 16S ribosomal RNA". It matches the Rfam family "Bacterial small subunit ribosomal RNA", at positions 509 to 807 of the family's 1533-position model. The record is from RNAcentral.